RNAcentral lists this ribosomal RNA (317 nucleotides) under uncultured bacterium. Its description in RNAcentral is "bacterial SSU rRNA". It matches the Rfam family "Bacterial small subunit ribosomal RNA", at positions 28 to 346 of the family's 1533-position model. The record is from RNAcentral.
AAUAAACGCUGGCGGCGUGCCUAAUGCAUGCAAGUCGAACGGGAGCGCCUUCGGGCGUCGACCGUGGCGGACGGGUGAGGAACACGUGGCUAAUCUGCCCAGCACUGGGGGAGUACCCGCCGGAAACGGCGACUAAGACCGCAUGCGCUUGCUCUUGGGGACGGGAGCAAGGAAAGCGCUUCGGCGCGGUGGUGGAGGGGCGUGCGGCCGAUUAGCUAGCUGGUGGGGUAACGGCCUACCAGGGCGGUGAUCGGUAGCUGGUCUGAGAGGACGGCCAGCCACACGGGGACUGAGACACGGCCCCGACUCCUACGGGA